GAUGAACGCUGGCGGCGUGCCUAAUACAUGCAAGUCGAGCGAACAGAUAAGGAGCUUGCUCCUUUGACGUUAGCGGCGGACGGGUGAGUAACACGUGGGUAACCUACCUAUAAGACUGGAAUAACUCCGGGAAACCGGGGCUAAUGCCGGAUAACAUUUAGAACCGCAUGGUUCUAAAGUGAAAGAUGGUUUUGCUAUCACUUAUAGAUGGACCCGCGCCGUAUUAGCUAGUUGGUAAGGUAACGGCUUACCAAGGCAACGAUACGUAGCCGACCUGAGAGGGUGAUCGGCCACACUGGAACUGAGACACGGUCCAGACUCCUACGGGAGGUAGCAGUAGGGAAUCUUCUGCAAUGGGCGAAAGCCUGACGGAGCAACGCCGCGUGAGUGAUGAAGGUCUUCGGAUCGUAAAACUCUGUUAUUAGGGAAGAACAAAUGUGUAAGUAACUGUGCACGUCUUGACGGUACCUAAUCAGAAAGCCACGGCUAACUACGUG
RNAcentral lists this ribosomal RNA (497 nucleotides) under uncultured bacterium. RNAcentral's name for it is "partial 16S ribosomal RNA". It matches the Rfam family "Bacterial small subunit ribosomal RNA", at positions 28 to 507 of the family's 1533-position model. The record is from RNAcentral.